This is a long non-coding RNA of Chelmon rostratus (copperband butterflyfish), 1183 nucleotides long. RefSeq lists it as uncharacterized. NCBI's taxonomy places the organism in Eukaryota, Metazoa, Chordata, Actinopteri, Chaetodontiformes, Chaetodontidae. The transcript has 5 exons. The record is from RefSeq and is a predicted model, not a curated record.
CACUGGUGUAAAUGGUGUGAAUCCUGCUGAACAGGAAGCAGUGUUGUUAUUUUUGUUUUUCAUUGUCUCUUCUUUUGUAUAUACAUUAUAAAACUGUCCAGAAAGGCCCUGUAUGAACCAACUCACAAAAUAAUGUUGCCAGUGAAGAAAAUACAACGUCAAAAUAAUCAGUAAACACAUCAUCUAUCAAAGAAAAUGUUCAAGCUACAGAGGGAGAAAUGGAGAGUGUGGUUCUCAGUAAAAGAAUAAAAGUGAUGUUUGAGUGCCGUGACCUAUUUAUUUCCACACAGUGUAUUCAUGCUCACCUUAGUACAGCUCAGCCCAUAGAUCUUCAUGGGUAAGUUUUUCUCUGAACAGUUUCUUUCUGUCCAAAUGCUGCCUGCAACGCUGCCACUCUGACACAGUCAAAAACUGUUUGCUUCCUUUAAUGUCUUUCCUGUGAUAAUGCCCCACCUACACUAGUGUUUCCAUACUUCUAUCUCCUAAUCAGUACUGUACUGUUUGAAGUGUUUCACAUGAAACAUGAGAUUAAGUUUUUAAUUUUUUUUACGGUUUUUAAGGUACCACUACGUUUACAAUGCCAUCUUAUUUUAGUGUAAUAUCUUUUUGUCUUAUUGUGAAAGUAUCCUAGUCCUUCCCCUCACGGCUAGCGACACCUGUUGCCGGAAGCAUUCUGCCCUUCUCCUGUUACUUGGUGAACACUGAGAGACAUGUGGAGGAGGCAAACACGGCGAAAAAGUCAUUUGUCUCUGCUGUCUCUACUCCACUUCAAGAUGGCGAUGUGAAACACAAGACGAAGCGGGGAGAUUUACCGUGGUGAUCCUGAGGGUUGAAGCGAUGUUCAGUCCAGUCACAAGCUUGGUUAUCUAACCCUCAGGCCCCCCGCCUCCAAUUUAAGUGGAAAGUAGUGGGCCAAGUCCUGGCAGCCAAAAGACUCAAUAAUACAUUUGUAAAUAUGUAUAUACUGUAGUUAAGUUUCCCCUCCAAUCCUGAGGUUUCACAGACCACUGAUGGUUUAUGUAAUGUAGUUUGAUAUACCAGAUUAACAGAUAUGUGUAUAUAAUGUUUUAUUUUGUUCUCCUGUUUCAUUCUAAUUUUAAUUUUCCGUAUACAUGUUCUAUGUGUGAGGAGUAUGGAAGGGGUGACAUCUCUUUGAUUCAUUUUUGCAGACCUGUGUUGUAAA